GCUGUUUUACAAAAGCCACCCGGUGGUGGUGAGCCCGGGUGCGAGGGCCCGUUCAUCGCUGCUUGCAGCUUUAAUUCUUCUUCUUCUUCUUCUUCUUCUUCUUCUUCUUCUUCUUCUUCUUCUUCUUCUUCUUCUUCUUCUUCUUCUUCUUCUUCUCCAAAAUGAAUCGCAUUUUUGAGGGCCUAAACAUGCUCGAAAAGUCCUGAAACUUUGCACACGCGUCAGACCUGGUGAAAAUUUACGUCUGAUAUAGGUUUCAGAAGAGGGUGUGGCAAAAUGGCUCGACAGCGCCACCUAUCGUAAAAAAAUCAACAGCCCUCCCGCUGUGUUUCACGUACAUGCACGAAAAUUGGCACACGUAUGUAAAGCAUCAGUACCUACAAAAAAGACUCUUGGAGCAAUAUCCGAAACCCAACAGGAAGUCGGUUAUUUUUAAUUUUAUGAGCAAAUUUUGCAUCAUUUUUGUCAUUUGCAUGCCUUGUAUUUUAACGAACUCCUCCUAGAGAUUUAUUCAGAUCAACACCAAAUUUGGUAUGCCUAAUCUAAAGGCCUUUGCGAUGUUAAAUUGCGAAGAUCUUGAGUUUUCGUUGAAGGGCGUGUCUGUGGCGGCCUGACGAAUUUCGAUGAUUCGCCAUGAAAAAUGAAGUUGCUAUAACUCAGACAUACAAUGUCCAAUCUGCCACAGACUUCACAUGUUUGAUAAGACUCCUGACCUGAACAGAUUGAUAUGCUCAUAUUCAGUUAUAGUCAUAGCGCCACCUACUGGCAACAGGAAGUGACUUAUUUUACGCUGUAACAAACUACCCCGAGAAAUUUUAUGACAAAAUUCUUUUUUUUUCAGUCACUCUAUUCUAAAGGCCUGUGCGAUGUUAAAUUGUGAAGAUCUUGAGUUUUCGUUAAAGGGCGUGUCCAUGGCGCCGUCACAAAGUUCGAUGUCUCGCCAUGGGAAUAAAAGUUAUUGUAACUCAGGCAUAAAAUGUCCGAUCUUGCCCAAACUUCACAUGUUCGAUAAGUGUCCUGGCCUGAACACAUCUGAAGGCCAAUAUUCCAUUGGGUGUGGCAAAAUGCCUCGAUAGCGCCACCUAUACAUUUUCAACGGAGUGCGCCUCGAGCUACGUUUCACGCACAUGUACAAAAAUCGGUACACACAUGUAACACACCAAUACCUACAAAAAAGUCUCUUGGUACGAAAUUCGAAUCCCAACAGGAAGUCAGUUAUUUUGAAUUUUCUCUGCAAAAUUUGUGUCGUUUUUGACAUUUUCAGGGGUUGUACUUUAACGAACUCCUCCUAGAGAUUUAUU
Molecule: long non-coding RNA, 1301 nt
Organism: Cyprinus carpio carpio
Lineage: Eukaryota; Metazoa; Chordata; Actinopteri; Cypriniformes; Cyprinidae
Source: Ensembl